This 979-nucleotide non-coding RNA is filed under the name Nyctibius grandis. Its description in RNAcentral is "12S ribosomal RNA". It matches the Rfam family "Bacterial small subunit ribosomal RNA". Lineage: Eukaryota; Metazoa; Chordata; Aves; Nyctibiiformes; Nyctibiidae. The record is from RNAcentral.
AAUAGACUUAGUCCUAACCUUACCGUUAAUUUUUGCUAGGCAUAUACAUGCAAGUAUCCGCAUCCCAGUGUAAAUGCCCUUCGCUUCUUGCCAAGACAGAAGGAGCAGGUAUCAGGCACACCCACAGUAGUAGCCCAAGACGCCUUGCUUGGCCACACCCCCACGGGUACUCAGCAGUAAUUAACCUUAAGCAAUGAGUGUAAACUUGACUUAGCCAUAGCAACUCAGGGUCGGUAAAUCUUGUGCCAGCCACCGCGGUCAUACAAGAGGCCCAAAUUAACAGCAAAUAUACGGCGUAAAGAGUGGUACACAUGUUAUCUCGGCAGCUAUGACCGAAAUGCAACUGAGCUGUCAUAAGCCCAAGAUGCACUUAAGGUCACCCCUCAAAAUGGUCCUAGCACCCAUGAUUAAUUAAACCCCACGAAAGCUAAGACACAAACUGGGAUUAGAUACCCCACUAUGCUUAGCCCUAAAUCUUGACACUUACCUCACCGAAGUGUCCGCCUGAGAACUACGAGCACAAACGCUUAAAACUCUAAGGACUUGGCGGUGCUCCAAACCCACCUAGAGGAGCCUGUUCUAUAAUCGAUGAUCCACGAUACACCCGGCCUCCCCUUGCCAUGGACAGCCUACAUACCGCCGUCGCCAGCCCACCUCUACUGAAAGAACAGUAGUGAGCAUAAUAGCCCUAAUCCCGCUAACAAGACAGGUCAAGGUAUAGCCCAUGGGGAGGAAAGAAAUGGGCUACAUUUUCUAGAAUAGAAAACCAACGAAAAGGGUCUAUGAAACUACCCCUAGAAGGCGGAUUUAGCAGUAAAGCAGGGCAAUAAUACCUUCUUUAAGUUGGCUCUAGAGCACGUACAUACCGCCCGUCACCCUCCUCAUAAACAACUACCCCAAAUAACUAAUACACCCCACCAGUCAAAGACGAGGUAAGUCGUAACAAGGUAAGUGUACCGGAAGGUGCACUUAGCACAAC